RNAcentral lists this ribosomal RNA (466 nucleotides) under uncultured Enterococcus sp. RNAcentral describes it as "bacterial SSU rRNA". It matches the Rfam family "Bacterial small subunit ribosomal RNA", at positions 338 to 795 of the family's 1533-position model. The record is from RNAcentral. Lineage: Bacteria; Bacillati; Bacillota; Bacilli; Lactobacillales; Enterococcaceae.
CCUACGGGUGGCUGCAGUAGGGAAUCUUCGGCAAUGGACGAAAGUCUGACCGAGCAACGCCGCGUGAGUGAAGAAGGUUUUCGGAUCGUAAAACUCUGUUGUUAGAGAAGAACAAGGAUGAGAGUAGAAUGUUCAUCCCUUGACGGUAUCUAACCAGAAAGCCACGGCUAACUACGUGCCAGCAGCCGCGGUAAUACGUAGGUGGCAAGCGUUGUCCGGAUUUAUUGGGCGUAAAGCGAGCGCAGGCGGUUUCUUAAGUCUGAUGUGAAAGCCCCCGGCUCAACCGGGGAGGGUCAUUGGAAACUGGGAAACUUGAGUGCAGAAGAGGAGAGUGGAAUUCCAUGUGUAGCGGUGAAAUGCGUAGAUAUAUGGAGGAACACCAGUGGCGAAGGCGGCUCUCUGGUCUGUAACUGACGCUGAGGCUCGAAAGCGUGGGGAGCAAACAGGAUUAGAUACCCUUGUAGUC